This 254-nucleotide ribosomal RNA is filed under the name uncultured bacterium. RNAcentral describes it as "partial 16S ribosomal RNA". It matches the Rfam family "Bacterial small subunit ribosomal RNA", at positions 524 to 776 of the family's 1533-position model. The record is from RNAcentral.
UACGUAGGGGGCGAGCGUUGUCCGAAGUUACUGGGCGUAAAGCGCGCGUAGGCGGGGGGUUAAGUGAGAGGUGAAAGGCUGGGGCUCAACCUCAUGCAGUGCCUCUCAUACUGGCUCUCUUGAGGGCGGUAGGGAGAAGUGGAAUGGCUGGUGUAGCGGUGAAAUGCGUAGAUAUCUGGAGGAACACCGGUGGCGAAGGCGGCAUCCUGGACCGGUAUUGACGCUGAGGCGCGAAAGCUAGGGGAGCAAACGGG